GACGAACGCUGGCGGCGUGCCUAAUACAUGCAAGUCGAACGCAGGGGGGACGGGUGAGUAACACGUGGGUAACCUCCCAUCAGAGGGGAUAACACUUGGAAACAGGUGCUAAAACGAUACUGAUGGAUGGACCCGCGGUGCAUUAGCUAGUUGGUGAGGUAACGGCUCCCCAAGGCCACGAUGCAUAGCCGACGUGAUAUGGGGAUCGGCCACAUGGGAACUGAGCCACGGCCCAGGCUCCACGGGACGUCAGCAGUAGGGAAGCUUCGUAAAGGGACGAAAGUCUGACCGAGCAACGCCGCGGGAGUGAGGAAGUUUUUCGGAUCGUAAAACUCUGUUGUUAGAGAAGCGGUAUCUAACCAGAAAGCCACGGCUAACUACGUGCCAGCAGCCGCGGUAAUAC
RNAcentral lists this ribosomal RNA (403 nucleotides) under uncultured bacterium. RNAcentral describes it as "partial 16S ribosomal RNA". It matches the Rfam family "Bacterial small subunit ribosomal RNA", at positions 28 to 526 of the family's 1533-position model. The record is from RNAcentral.